RNAcentral lists this ribosomal RNA (434 nucleotides) under uncultured bacterium. Its description in RNAcentral is "partial 16S ribosomal RNA". It matches the Rfam family "Bacterial small subunit ribosomal RNA", at positions 29 to 507 of the family's 1533-position model. The record is from RNAcentral.
AGCAAACGCUGGCGGCAGGCCUAACACAUGCAAGUCGAACGAACCUUUCGGGGUUAGUGGCGGACGGGUGAGUAACACGUGGGAACGUGCCUUUAGGUUCGGAAUAACUCAGGGAAACUUGUGCUAAUACCGAAUGUGCCCUUCGGGGGAAAGAUUUAUCGCCUUUAGAGCGGCCCGCGUCUGAUUAGCUAGUUGGUUGAGGUAAUGGCUCACCAAGGCGACGAUCAGUAGCUGGUCUGAGAGGAUGAUCAGCCACAUUGGGACUGAGACACGGCCCAAACUCCUACGGGAGGCAGCAGUGGGGAAUCUUGCGCAAUGGGCGAAAGCCUGACGCAGCCAUGCCGCGUGAAUGAUGAAGGUCUUAGGAUUGUAAAAUUCUUUCACCGGGGACGAUAAUGACGGUACCCGGAGAAGAAGCCCCGGCUAACUUCGUG